RNAcentral lists this ribosomal RNA (490 nucleotides) under uncultured bacterium. RNAcentral describes it as "partial 16S ribosomal RNA". It matches the Rfam family "Bacterial small subunit ribosomal RNA", at positions 29 to 507 of the family's 1533-position model. The record is from RNAcentral.
GUGAACGCUGGCGGUAGGCCUAACACAUGCAAGUCGAACGGCAGCACAGUAAGAGCUUGCUCUUACGGGUGGCGAGUGGCGGACGGGUGAGGAAUACAUCGGAAUCUACUUUUUCGUGGGGGAUAACGUAGGGAAACUUACGCUAAUACCGCAUACGACCUACGGGUGAAAGCAGCGAUCUUCGGACCUUGCGCGAUUGAAUGAGCCGAUGUCGGAUUAGCUAGUUGGCGGGGUAAAGGCCCACCAAGGCGACGAUCCGUAGCUGGUCUGAGAGGAUGAUCAGCCACACUGGAACUGAGACACGGUCCAGACUCCUACGGGAGGCAGCAGUGGGGAAUAUUGGACAAUGGGCGCAAGCCUGAUCCAGCCAUACCGCGUGGGUGAAGAAGGCCUUCGGGUUGUAAAGCCCUUUUGUUGGGAAAGAAAAGCAGCAGGUUAAUACCCCGCUGUUCUGACGGUACCCAAAGAAUAAGCACCGGCUAACUUCGUG